ACUCCUACGGGAAGGCAGCAGUGAGGAAUAUUGGUCAAUGGAGGGAACUCUGAACCAGCCAUCCCGCGUGUAGGAAGACGGCCUUAUGGGUUGUAAACUACUUUAUACAGGAAGAAACGUACCUCGUGAGGGUGCCUGACGGUACUGUAGGAAUAAGCACCGGCUAACUCCGUGCCAGCAGCCGCGGUAAUACGGAGGGUGCGAGCGUUAUCCGGAUUUAUUGGGUUUAAAGGGUCCGUAGGCGGAUUAAUAAGUCAGUGGUGAAAUCCCAUCGCUUAACGAUGGAACUGCCAUUGAUACUGUUAGUCUUGAAUGAGGGUGCAGUGGUUGGAAUGUGUAGUGUAGCGGUGAAAUGCAUAGAUAUUACACAGAACACCGAUUGUCGAAGGCGAGAAUCACUAACCCUAAACUUAGACGCUGAGGGACGGAAAGACGUGGGAGCGACAGGAUUAGAUACCUCGGUAGCGACUGA
RNAcentral lists this ribosomal RNA (472 nucleotides) under uncultured bacterium. Its description in RNAcentral is "bacterial SSU rRNA". It matches the Rfam family "Bacterial small subunit ribosomal RNA", at positions 335 to 802 of the family's 1533-position model. The record is from RNAcentral.